This 763-nucleotide long non-coding RNA is filed under the name Homo sapiens (human). Its description in RNAcentral is "HSALNT0182135". Lineage: Eukaryota; Metazoa; Chordata; Mammalia; Primates; Hominidae. The record is from RNAcentral.
CUUCAGUCCUGAUGAAUCAGUUGCGGAAACCCCAAAUCUGUUUUUUUUUUUUUUGAAGUUUUAACAGUUUAUUCGAAUUUAAAAAGUAUGCAUCAUCUGAAGAGUCUGGGUUGCAAACUUCGCAAGACAGGUUGAUCGCAUGAUGUAAGGGGGACAUUCUCUGAUGGUUUAUUUCCUUCGUCCUUGUGCCCAUCCCAUUGCUGGGUGGUGAACACUUGUCAAAGAAACUCAUUCAAAUGCUUUCUCACCCAAUGUGUUGGAUUCCCUGUGAUUCAUUACAUUAUUUUCUUCCUGAAGAAAUCUGAACACAGAGAACUUGAAGCUGCAGGGGGAAAACAUUGCUGAUUUGUUCUAGGACAUGUAGACAUUCAUGUUCCAUCGGGACAGGAGGAUUGAGCAGAUGACAACUGGAGACUGUGCUCAUUUCCCAUCGAUGAAAUGCCCUCGGCUCAGUAGAAUCCCCUAUUUUAGAGAAUUGCAGAGCUAUUUGCUGGAAAUAAAGUGACAGCUUCAGAAGUGAUUCACAGAUUUGGAUGAACAUGAAGGUUUAGGUUUUUCAGGUCAUCACCUGGUGUCCAAUGGCAGGAAUAUUCUGAAGUGCCAAAGUUAAUCACUGUGGCUCCCACGGUAUCCCCUGAGUUUGUAAUGCAUGACUCUGAGGCCCACUUUUGGGUAAUGGUGAGUUCUGGGAAAGUAUCUUCUUCCACCUGGAGGCAGAAAUCAUGUGUGCCCCUGCUAAAGUCCACAGGUCUUUUUUAAGAAU